GCGUGGCAGACGGGUGAGUAACACGUGGGUAACCUACCCGAAGGUGGGGGAUAACCCUUCGAAAGGAGGGCUAAUACCGCAUGAUGUGCCGAGGUCCUCGGAGCUCGGCACCAAAGCCUAGCCUCUGUUUACAAGCUAGCGCCAUCGGAGGGGCCCGCGCCCCAUUAGGUAGUUGGUGAGGUAACGGCUCACCAAGCCUUCGAUGGGUAGCCGGCCUGAGAGGGCGAUCGGCCACACUGGAACUGAGACACGGUCCAGACUCCUACGGGAGGCAGCAGUGAGGAAUCUUGCGCAAUGGGCGAAAGCCUGACGCAGCGACGCCGCGUGGAGGAUGAAGGUCUUCGGAUUGUAAACUCCUGUGAGGUGGGACGAAUGCCGCGAGGGUGAACAGCCUUCGCGGUUGACGGUACCAUCAGAGGAAGCCCCGGCUAACUCCGUGCCAGCAGCCGCGGUAAUACGGAGGGGGCCAGCGUUGUUCGGAAUCAUUGGGCGUAAAGGGCGCGUAGGCGGCCGUUCAAGUCGGACGUGAAAUCCCCCGGCUCAACUGGGGAACUGCAUCCGAUACUGUUCGGCUCGAGUCCUGGAGAGGGUAGUGGAAUUCCCAGUGUAGCGGUGAAAUGCGUAGAUACUGGGAGGAACAUCGGUGGCGAAGGCGGCUACCUGGACAGGUAC
This 672-nucleotide ribosomal RNA is filed under the name uncultured bacterium. RNAcentral describes it as "bacterial SSU rRNA". It matches the Rfam family "Bacterial small subunit ribosomal RNA", at positions 93 to 740 of the family's 1533-position model. The record is from RNAcentral.